GACGUAGGGCGCGAGCGUUGUCCGGAUUGAUUGGGCGUAAAGAGCUCGUAGGCGGCUCGUUGCGUCGGCUGUGAAAACCCGCAGCUCAACUGUGGGCCUGCAGCCGAUACGGGCGGGCUGGAGUUCGGUAGGGGAGACUGGAAUUCCUGGUGUAGCGGUGAAAUGCGCAGAUAUCAAGUGGAACACCAGUGGCGAAGGCGAGUCCCUGGACAACUCCUGACACUGAGGCACGAAAGCUAGGGGAGCAAACAGG
Molecule: ribosomal RNA, 253 nt
Filed under: uncultured bacterium
Lineage: Bacteria
Description: partial 16S ribosomal RNA
Rfam family: Bacterial small subunit ribosomal RNA
Source: RNAcentral